RNAcentral lists this ribosomal RNA (600 nucleotides) under uncultured bacterium. RNAcentral describes it as "bacterial SSU rRNA". It matches the Rfam family "Bacterial small subunit ribosomal RNA", at positions 93 to 690 of the family's 1533-position model. The record is from RNAcentral.
GAGCGGCGUACGGGUGCGGAACACGUGUGCACUGCUUUAUCUGGGGGAUAGCCUUUCGAAAGGAAGAUUAAUACCCCAUAAUAUGUUGAAUGGCAUCAUUCGACAUUGAAAACUCCGGUGGAUAGAGAUGGGCACGCGCAAGAUUAGAUAGUCGGUGAGGUAACGGCUCACCAAGUCUACGAUCUUUAGGGGGCCUGAGAGGGUGAUCCCCCACACUGGUACUGAGACACGGACCAGACUCCUACGGGAGGCAGCAGUGAGGAAUAUUGGACAAUGGGUGAGAGCCUGAUCCAGCCAUCCCGCGUGAAGGACGACUGCCCUAUGGGUUGUAAACUUCUUUUGUAUAGGGAUAAACCUACCCUCGUGAGGGUAGCUGAAGGUACUAUACGAAUAAGCACCGGCUAACUCCGUGCCAGCAGCCGCGGUAUACGGAGGGUGCAAGCGUUAUCCGGGAUUAUUGGGUUUAAAGGGUCCGUAGGCGCGAUCUGUAAGUCAGUGGUGAAAAUCUCACAGGUUUAACUGUGGAAAUUGCAUUGAUAUGGAGUCUUUGGAGUGUUGUUGGAAGUAAUUGGGAAUAAAGUAGUGUAAGGGUGGAAAUUG